Molecule: ribosomal RNA, 253 nt
Filed under: uncultured bacterium
Lineage: Bacteria
Description: partial 16S ribosomal RNA
Rfam family: Bacterial small subunit ribosomal RNA
Source: RNAcentral
UACGUAGGGGGCAAGCGUUGUCCGGAUUUAUUGGGCGUAAAGAGCGUGUAGGCGGUUUGGUAGGUCCGCUGUGAAAACUCGAGGCUCAACCUCGAGACGCCGGUGGAAACCAUCAGACUAGAGUCCGGAAGAGGAGAGUGGAAUUCCUGGUGUAGCGGUGAAAUGCGCAGAUAUCAGGAGGAACACCCGUGGCGAAGGCGGCUCUCUGGGACGGUACUGACGCUGAGACGCGAAAGCGUGGGGAGCGAACAGG